Triticum aestivum (bread wheat) is the source of this 428-nucleotide long non-coding RNA. RefSeq lists it as uncharacterized. The record is from RefSeq and is a predicted model, not a curated record. NCBI's taxonomy places the organism in Eukaryota, Viridiplantae, Streptophyta, Magnoliopsida, Poales, Poaceae. The transcript is spliced from 2 exons.
CUGAAGAGAAUUAUCCUAUCAUUUAGCAAAUGCUUUCGCUUCUAGAUUUCUUACUCCUUUCGUGUAUCUCAGGAUAUAGCAAAAGAAGUUGCAGGAAACACAAAAGAGGGGAGAAAAAGAUUUUCAAAUUGGAGGAUGUUCUCCAAUGAGAUGUAGAAGGAAGGCUUUGUUGUCAAGUACUAGAAUGACACAAGGAUCUUGGUGGAAUGCUGAGAGGAUGUGUAUGUAGUUGCCCACUAUAAGGAGCCAAGGUAGAUGAUGUGCCUCUUAAAACAAAUUCUAGAAAAUAAAGCAUGGUAUUUUUGCUAUUAGGCAAUAAACCAUAAUGCUUCCUCUACUUAAUUAGUUCCACUAGUUUUAUAGGAAAGUUGGAUGGUCAUUAGUUCAUAACAGAUGAUGUAUUUAUAUGUGAAAAUUAUUGAAAUGUA